UUCCAAACUACUUUCUUUCUGUUUCCUUUAAUGGGUACUAUUUGAAUAAAUAAGUUGACUAAUAUUCUACUCACUUAGAACUGACAGUGUAAACAUUAACAUGGGGUUAGUGGCACCAUUACCUUUACCCUAGUUUGUGUUUGAAUAUAUACUGCAAAAGCAUUAAGUCCCCCUUCCACAUCCAGUCAGCCAAAACCCCACGAGCAAUAGUUCAUUGCAUUGCAAAUAAGUCCAUAGUCUUGGUCUUAGAAACCGUGGCACUGAUAACACUGUCCUCCCCCAGUGGAGGUUCGAUAAAUCAGGAAAAAGUAGGAAACUCAUCUGGCUCGGUUGCAUUUCACGUGAUAGAUGGUCAGAGUGCAGGCACACAUUGCACAGGAGUCACUCAGCCUUUGCAAUCCUGCUGGAUCACAACUCAGCCGAUGUAUACUUGUGCUUAAUUAAUGCUUCCUUGUGGGUUGCUGCUUAUGUGCCUGUGAUGCCAUUGCAAGUAAGUUUUUCCAUCACACUUGUGUGUAUGACAACAUGGAUGACUUUGAAUUCCUCCUGCCCUACAACAUCCAAGCAGGGAUACCACAAGCUGAAAUGCCAUUGGAAUACUGGUUAUGAUUGCCUGAGCUGCACAUUUCGCUGUUAACGUCCUGCCUGAAUUGUAAAACAACACAGUGUCAACUCAAAUGAGCUGCAGAUACCAGAAGCAUGAAAAACAAAAACAGGAAAGGCUGCCGUUAGUCACCAGGUCAAAGGAGCAUCUGUGGAGAACCAGAAGUCAACCAGCUGACUUUUUAAAAACUGAUCAACUUGUUUAUCUGUAUUUGCUGCCUGAUCUGCCUACUGUUCUAAACUGCUCUUUUGAUGCCAGUGGGUAUUUUUUUAGUGCCCCCUCCAUGUGCUUUUGUGGAAUUUUGCCAAGUUUGGGUUCCAAUUGCAUCAUUCCAGCCUGAAUCAGAACUUUGUACGUCAGACACCCUGUGGCUGAGCUGGAAUUUUAUUAUGUUUGGCUGUGCCAAGGCUGGAAUUGCAUGUUUAGGGUUUCAUCUUUGAGACCGUUGCCAACUGCUUGAGGCCCACGGCACAAAACAAAAAGUGCAGUAAAGCUUUAUAGGACUCAUCAUAAACCUGGAUUUGGUCGCUGACUUACACUUCCAGCCUAUUGGCCUAUUGUUACCUCUCGAAUGAAAGAGUUAAUGUAGGAGGACUGUUUGAUGGCUCUGGGCCUGUACUAGCUGGAGUUUGGAAGAAUGGGGGGGGGGGGGGAGGGAUCUCAUUGAAACCUAUCAAAUAUUAAAAGGCCUAAAAAGAGUGGAUGUGGAGAGGAUGUUUCCUAUGAUGAGAAAAUCUAGGACCGGGGACGCAGCCACAGAAUAGAAGGACAUCCCUUUAGAACAGAGAUAAGGAGUAAUUUAUUCAUCCAGGGUGGCAGAUCUGUGGAAUUCAUUGGCACAGACAGCUGUGGAGGUUAUGGGGAGAAGGCAGAAGAAUGGGGUUGAGAGGGAUAAUAAAUCAGCCAUGAUGGAAUGGGUGAGCAGAUUCAAUGGGCUGAAUAGCCUAAUCCUGCUCCUAUGUCUUAUGAUAUUAUGGACUCAAAUAUAGGAAAGAUCCUCUGGUCCAACAGUACUGAACCAGAUAUGUCUGUUCCUACUCCCCAUAUGCUUAAGUCUGCAGUCUCAUUUCACCUAUAAGUGGGUCAAAUAACUUGAACCAUCCUGCACAAACCUAACCACUGUCUCAGUAUAGUAACACCAUGACCACUUUGGAUUACAAAAGGCUUUGAUAUUUUUCCAUUCUAAUUGUGUAAACAUUGGGUAUAAAAUUUAUGUUUAA
Hypanus sabinus (Atlantic stingray) is the source of this 1824-nucleotide long non-coding RNA. RefSeq lists it as uncharacterized. The transcript is spliced from 2 exons. The record is from RefSeq and is a predicted model, not a curated record. Lineage: Eukaryota; Metazoa; Chordata; Chondrichthyes; Myliobatiformes; Dasyatidae.